GUUAGGAAUAUUGGACAAUGGGCGCAAGCCUGAUCCAGCCAUGCCGCGUGAGUGAUGAAGGCCUUCGGGUUGUAAAGCUCUUUAGCCGAUGAUUAUAAUGACUGUAGUCGGAAAAUAAGCCCCGGCUAACUUCGUGCCAGCAGCCGCGGUAAUACGAAGGGGGCGAGCGUUAUUCGGAAUCACUGGGCGUAAAGCGUGCGUAGGCGGCUUUGCAAGUUGGGAGUGAAAGCCCAGGGCUCAACCCUGGAAUUGCUCUCAAAACUGCAAGGCUCGAAUUCGGGAGAGGAUAGCGGAAUUGUCAGUGUAGCAGUGAAAUGCGUAGAUAUUGACAGGAACACCAGUGGCGUAAGCGGCUAUCUGGACCGAUAUUGACGCUGAGGCACGAAAGCGUGGGGAGCAAACGGGAUUAGAAACCCGAGUAGUCC
Molecule: ribosomal RNA, 425 nt
Filed under: uncultured bacterium
Lineage: Bacteria
Description: partial 16S ribosomal RNA
Rfam family: Bacterial small subunit ribosomal RNA
Source: RNAcentral